Molecule: ribosomal RNA, 393 nt
Filed under: uncultured bacterium
Lineage: Bacteria
Description: partial 16S ribosomal RNA
Rfam family: Bacterial small subunit ribosomal RNA
Source: RNAcentral
AUACGUAGGGGGCGAGCGUUAUCCGGAUUUAUUGGGUUUAAAGGGAGCGUAGGUGGGAUAUUAAGUCAGCUGUGAAAGUUUGGGGCUCAACCUUAAAAUUGCAGUUGAUACUGGUUUCCUUGAGUACGGUACAGGUGGGCGGAAUUCGUGGUGUAGCGGUGAAAUGCUUAGAUAUCACGAAGAACUCCGAUCGCGAAGGCAGCUCACCGGGCCGGAACUGACACUGAUGCUCGAAAGUGCGGGUAUCAAACAGGAUUAGAUACCCUGGUAGUCCGCACAGUAAACGAUGAAUACUCGCUGUUUGCGAUACACGGUAAGCGGCCAAGCGAAAGCGUUAAGUAUUCCACCUGGGGAGUACGCCGGCAACGGUGAAACUCAAAGGAAUUGACGGGG